Molecule: ribosomal RNA, 1552 nt
Filed under: Staphylococcus aureus
Lineage: Bacteria; Bacillati; Bacillota; Bacilli; Caryophanales; Staphylococcaceae
Also listed under: 3 other names
Description: 16S ribosomal RNA
Rfam family: Bacterial small subunit ribosomal RNA
Source: RNAcentral
UUUAUGGAGAGUUUGAUCCUGGCUCAGGAUAAACGCUGGCGGCGUGCCUAAUACAUGCAAGUCGAGCGAACGGACGAGAAGCUUGCUUCUCUGAUGUUAGCGGCGGACGGGUGAGUAACACGUGGAUAACCUACCUAUAAGACUGGGAUAACUUCGGGAAACCGGAGCUAAUACCGGAUAAUAUUUUGAACCGCAUGGUUCAAAAGUGAAAGACGGUCUUGCUGUCACUUAUAGAUGGAUCCGCGCUGCAUUAGCUAGUUGGUAAGGUAACGGCUUACCAAGGCAACGAUGCAUAGCCGACCUGAGAGGGUGAUCGGCCACACUGGAACUGAGACACGGUCCAGACUCCUACGGGAGGCAGCAGUAGGGAAUCUUCCGCAAUGGGCGAAAGCCUGACGGAGCAACGCCGCGUGAGUGAUGAAGGUCUUCGGAUCGUAAAACUCUGUUAUUAGGGAAGAACAUAUGUGUAAGUAACUGUGCACAUCUUGACGGUACCUAAUCAGAAAGCCACGGCUAACUACGUGCCAGCAGCCGCGGUAAUACGUAGGUGGCAAGCGUUAUCCGGAAUUAUUGGGCGUAAAGCGCGCGUAGGCGGUUUUUUAAGUCUGAUGUGAAAGCCCACGGCUCAACCGUGGAGGGUCAUUGGAAACUGGAAAACUUGAGUGCAGAAGAGGAAAGUGGAAUUCCAUGUGUAGCGGUGAAAUGCGCAGAGAUAUGGAGGAACACCAGUGGCGAAGGCGACUUUCUGGUCUGUAACUGACGCUGAUGUGCGAAAGCGUGGGGAUCAAACAGGAUUAGAUACCCUGGUAGUCCACGCCGUAAACGAUGAGUGCUAAGUGUUAGGGGGUUUCCGCCCCUUAGUGCUGCAGCUAACGCAUUAAGCACUCCGCCUGGGGAGUACGACCGCAAGGUUGAAACUCAAAGGAAUUGACGGGGACCCGCACAAGCGGUGGAGCAUGUGGUUUAAUUCGAAGCAACGCGAAGAACCUUACCAAAUCUUGACAUCCUUUGACAACUCUAGAGAUAGAGCCUUCCCCUUCGGGGGACAAAGUGACAGGUGGUGCAUGGUUGUCGUCAGCUCGUGUCGUGAGAUGUUGGGUUAAGUCCCGCAACGAGCGCAACCCUUAAGCUUAGUUGCCAUCAUUAAGUUGGGCACUCUAAGUUGACUGCCGGUGACAAACCGGAGGAAGGUGGGGAUGACGUCAAAUCAUCAUGCCCCUUAUGAUUUGGGCUACACACGUGCUACAAUGGACAAUACAAAGGGCAGCGAAACCGCGAGGUCAAGCAAAUCCCAUAAAGUUGUUCUCAGUUCGGAUUGUAGUCUGCAACUCGACUACAUGAAGCUGGAAUCGCUAGUAAUCGUAGAUCAGCAUGCUACGGUGAAUACGUUCCCGGGUCUUGUACACACCGCCCGUCACACCACGAGAGUUUGUAACACCCGAAGCCGGUGGAGUAACCUUUUAGGAGCUAGCCGUCGAAGGUGGGACAAAUGAUUGGGGUGAAGUCGUAACAAGGUAGCCGUAUCGGAAGGUGCGGCUGGAUCACCUCCUUU